RNAcentral lists this ribosomal RNA (492 nucleotides) under uncultured bacterium. RNAcentral's name for it is "partial 16S ribosomal RNA". It matches the Rfam family "Bacterial small subunit ribosomal RNA", at positions 29 to 507 of the family's 1533-position model. The record is from RNAcentral.
AGUGAACGCUGGCGGUAGGCCUAACACAUGCCAGUCGAACGGCAGCACAGUAAGAGCUUGCUCUUACGGGUGGCGAGUGGCGGACGGGUGAGGAAUACAUCGGAAUCUACUUUUUCGUGGGGGAUAACGUAGGGAAACUUACGCUAAUACCGCAUACGACCUACGGGUGAAAGCAGGGGGUCUUCGGACCUUGCGCGAUUGAAUGAGCCGAUGUCGGAUUAGCUAGUUGGCGGGGUAAAGGCCCACCAAGGCGACGAUCCGUAGCUGGUCUGAGAGGAUGAUCAGCCACACUGGAACUGAAACACGGUCCAGACUCCUACGGGAGGCAGCAGUGGGGAAUAUUGGACAAUGGGCGCAAGCCUGAUCCAGCCAUACCGCGUGGGUGAAGAAGGCCUUCGGGUUGUAAAGCCCUUUUGUUGGGAAAGAAAAGCAGCAGGUUAAUACCCCGCUGUUCUGACGGUACCCAAAGAAUAAGCACCGGCUAACUUCGUG